RNAcentral lists this ribosomal RNA (403 nucleotides) under bacterium. RNAcentral's name for it is "partial 16S ribosomal RNA". It matches the Rfam family "Bacterial small subunit ribosomal RNA", at positions 355 to 776 of the family's 1533-position model. The record is from RNAcentral.
UGGGGAAUAUUGCACAAUGGGGGAAACCCUGAUGCAGCGACGCCGCGUGAACGAAGAAGGUAUUCGUAUCGUAAAGUUCUGUCCUAUGGGAAGAUAAUGACAGUACCAUAGAAGAAAGCUCCGUCUAAAUACGUGCCAGCAGCCGCGGUAAUACGUAUGGAGCGAGCGUUGUCCGGAAUUAUUGGGCGUAAAGGGUACGCAGGCGGUUUAAUAAGUCGAAUGUUAAAGAUCGGGGCUCAACCCCGCAAAGCAUUGGAAACUGAUAAACUUGAGUAGUGGAGAGGAAAGUGGAAUUCCUAGUGUAGUGGUGAAAUACGUAGAUAUUAGGAGGAAUACCAGUAGCGAAGGCGACUUUCUGGACACAAACUGACGCUGAGGUACGAUAGCGUGGGGAGCAAACAGG